This 81-nucleotide transfer RNA is filed under the name bacterium. Its description in RNAcentral is "tRNA-Leu". It matches the Rfam family "tRNA". From Rfam's summary of the family: Transfer RNA (tRNA) molecules are approximately 80 nucleotides in length. The record is from RNAcentral.
GCGCGGGUGGUGAAAUGGCAGACACACUUGCCUUAGGAGCAAGCGCCGCAAGGCAUGGAGGUUCAAGUCCUCUCCCGCGCA